This is a long non-coding RNA of Pecten maximus, 571 nucleotides long. RefSeq lists it as uncharacterized. The transcript is spliced from 2 exons. Lineage: Eukaryota; Metazoa; Mollusca; Bivalvia; Pectinida; Pectinidae. The record is from RefSeq and is a predicted model, not a curated record.
AUGUGGGACGAAAUGACUUGAAUGAAAUUGACGUAGUAAGCAAGCAAUGCACACUAAAUUAUUUGUUUAUCACGAGUUUUCAUUUGCCGAUGUCAUUGAAGGAAAACAUUUCAUCACAGCAUGCAUCUGAAGCAAACCAUCUCAGCAUAAUUGGAUGCGACAAAUGUGAAUGGUUUUGGGUACUCGAGGCAUGUGUAAAGCCCACAGAUGAUAUUAACCCUGAAAGGCUGUACGUGUGCCCCUUUUGUCAGGGUUGAACACUCAUAUCUAUCCUACAUGUCCAGUUUAUUAGCUCACCUGGUCCGAUCUGACUUCCUCUUCAUAACCACAGAUCAGAAUUCGACCAAAUUUGGUCAGAAGCAUCCCUUUAAUGGGGGACUCAAAAUUGCACAAAUGGUGGGGCUGAAUGUGGCCAAUUUGGCUAAAUUGAUAUGAACAACUUCUCCUGAAUUUGGUCAGGAACAUCCUUGGCAGAAGGUGAACAGAGUUUGGAUAAAGGACCUGUUGCAGGAUGGCCCACGAAGGAAUUCUUUGUAAAACAUUUUAUUUUGAUAAAAGAUGUCAAAAUACA